CUACGGGUUGCAGCAGUGGGGAAUAUUGCACAAUGGGCGCAAGCCUGAUGCAGCCAUGCCGUGUGUAUGAAGAAGGCCUUCGGGUUGUAAAGUACUUUCAGCGGGGAGGAAGGGAGUAAAGUUAAUACCUUUGCUCAUUGACGUUACCCGCAGAAGAAGCACCGGCUAACUCCGUGCCAGCAGCCGCGGUAAUACGGAGGGUGCAAGCGUUAAUCGGAAUUACUGGGCGUAAAGCGCACGCAGGCGGUUUGUUAAGUCAGAUGUGAAAUCCCCGGGCUCAACCUGGGAACUGCAUCUGAUACUGGCAAGCUUGAGUCUCGUAGAGGGGGGUAGAAUUCCAGGUGUAGCGGUGAAAUGCGUAGAGAUCUGGAGGAAUACCGGUGGCGAAGGCGGCCCCCUGGACGAAGACUGACGCUCAGGUGCGAAAGCGUGGGGAGCAAACAGGAUUAGAUACCCGCGUAGUC
RNAcentral lists this ribosomal RNA (464 nucleotides) under uncultured bacterium. RNAcentral describes it as "partial 16S ribosomal RNA". It matches the Rfam family "Bacterial small subunit ribosomal RNA", at positions 339 to 795 of the family's 1533-position model. The record is from RNAcentral.